Molecule: unclassified non-coding RNA, 353 nt
Filed under: soil metagenome
Description: partial contains 5.8S ribosomal RNA, internal transcribed spacer 2, and large subunit ribosomal RNA
Rfam family: 5.8S ribosomal RNA (bases 1-120)
Source: RNAcentral
GAUGAAGAACGCAGCGAAAUGCGAUGAGUAAUGUGAAUUGCAGAAUUCAGUGAAUCAUCGAAUCUUUGAACGCACAUUGCGCCCGCCAGUAUUCUGGCGGGCAUGCCUGUUCGAGCGUCAUUACAACCCUCAGGCCCCCGGGCCUGGCGUUGGGGAUCGGCGGAAGCCCCCUGCGGGCACAACGCCGUCCCCCAAAUACAGUGGCGGUCCCGCCGCAGCUUCCAUUGCGUAGUAGCUAACACCUCGCACCUGGAGAGCGGCGCGGCCACGCCGUAAAACACCCAACUUCUGAAUGUUGACCUCGAAUCAGGUAGGAAUACCCGCUGAACUUAAGCAUAUCAAUAAGCGGAGGA